UACGUAGGGUGCGAGCGUUGUCCGGAAUUAUUGGGCGUAAAGAGCUCGUAGGCGGUCUGUCGCGUCGGGAGUGAAAACUCAGGGCUUAACCCUGAGCCUGCUUCCGAUACGGGCAGACUAGAGGUAUGCAGGGGAGAACGGAAUUCCUGGUGUAGCGGUGAAAUGCGCAGAUAUCAGGAGGAACACCGGUGGCGAAGGCGGUUCUCUGGGCAUUACCUGACGCUGAGGAGCGAAAGUGUGGGGAGCGAACAGG
RNAcentral lists this ribosomal RNA (253 nucleotides) under uncultured bacterium. Its description in RNAcentral is "partial 16S ribosomal RNA". It matches the Rfam family "Bacterial small subunit ribosomal RNA", at positions 524 to 776 of the family's 1533-position model. The record is from RNAcentral.